This 482-nucleotide ribosomal RNA is filed under the name uncultured bacterium. RNAcentral's name for it is "partial 16S ribosomal RNA". It matches the Rfam family "Bacterial small subunit ribosomal RNA", at positions 30 to 507 of the family's 1533-position model. The record is from RNAcentral.
AUUGAACGCUGGCGGCAUGCCUUACACAUGCAAGUCGAACGGUAACAGGUCUUCGGUUGCUGACGAGUGGCGAACGGGUGAGUAAUACAUCGGAACGUGCCCGAUCGUGGGGGAUAACGGAGCGAAAGCUUUGCUAAUACCGCAUACGAUCUACGGAUGAAAGCAGGGGACCGCAAGGCCUUGCGCGGACGGAGCGGCCGAUGGCAGAUUAGGUAGUUGGUGGGAUAAAAGCUUACCAAGCCGACGAUCUGUAGCUGGUCUGAGAGGACGACCAGCCACACUGGAACUGAGACACGGCCCAGACUCCUACGGGAGGCAGCAGUGGGGAAUGUUGGACAAUGGGCGAAAGCCUGAUCCAGCCAUGCCGCGUGCAGGAUGAAGGCCUUCGGGUUGUAAACUGCUUUUGUACGGAACGAAAAGACUCUUUCUAAUAAAGAGGGUCCAUGACGGUACCGUAAGAAUAAGCACCGGCUAACUACGUG